RNAcentral lists this ribosomal RNA (253 nucleotides) under uncultured bacterium. Its description in RNAcentral is "partial 16S ribosomal RNA". It matches the Rfam family "Bacterial small subunit ribosomal RNA", at positions 524 to 776 of the family's 1533-position model. The record is from RNAcentral.
UACAGAGGGUGCAAGCGUUAAUCGGAAUUACUGGGCGUAAAGCGUGCGUAGUCGGUUAUUUAAGUCGGAUGUGAAAUCCCCGGGCUCAACCUGGGAAUUGCAUUCGAUACUGGAUAGCUAGAGUUCGGCAGAGGGGAGCGGAAUUUCGGGUGUAGCGGUGAAAUGCGUAGAUAUCCGAAGGAACAUCAGUGGCGAAGGCGGCUUCCUGGACCAGAACUGACGAUCAGGCACGAAAGCGUGGGGAGCAAACUGG